Molecule: long non-coding RNA, 1119 nt
Organism: Photinus pyralis (common eastern firefly)
Lineage: Eukaryota; Metazoa; Arthropoda; Insecta; Coleoptera; Lampyridae
Exons: 3
Source: RefSeq, a predicted model, not a curated record
CAACAACUGGGUAUCAAUGAACCAUUAGUCUUCGCGGAUACACAUUAAAAGUGCAGGUCUACAACUUUAUCAGCAAAUGGUGUCCACAAAAACACCGACUUAAUGCAAAUCCCAAACCUCGUCCCAAACAAUAAAAUGGCUACGAUGCUAUUUCAUAAAUCGCAAUAAGGCAAACUACAACGAACGCCAAAGAAACGACGACGCAAUAAAACGGUAGAAAUGAAGUUGAUUUUCCAGCUAUACUCUACACGGACCGAUCACAGAAUUCGCGGGUUACAUUCCGUCGUGAGAAUUUUCAAGUUUCACGUUUUUUUUCUUGGAAAUGCUGCGAAAAUCUUCGUCCGGGCGCAGCUACGGUUCUAUGGAAAUGAUAUUUGGCUUUCAACGUAAUUUCGCUCUUCUAGUUUUCGCCUCGAAGAAGAUUCGCAAAAAAAAUGCACGGCUCGGCUCUGCGAACACAACUAGCGCAGAUUUUGCACUGGGUGAUGCCGUACAAUCAUUAGGGGGGGGUCAUCAUGUUUCAUUCCUCCGACAUCCCUGACUACAGGGACGCCGGAGGCGAGCUACUCAGGCUUGCCAGAGCCUCUUCGGCCAGAGAACGGGAAUGUAAGGAUAGGUAAAGUUAGGGAUGGGAACGGAAGGAACAGCGUUAUGGUGCUGAGGGGGAGAAUAGUGCUGCUUUUCCUACUAUAUGCACGUGUCGGUUUCGUAAAAUAUAAACCAAUCAACGGUUCAUCUUACUACACUGGAUUGUAUAAAUAUCUAUCUCGCGCUAGUAUAAAGUUUAUGUCAUUCAACAUUGAUAACAUAUAGACGUAUUUAACAACCUAAUUCCGAAUACAUUCUGUAAAACACAAAAUCAUGUUUUUCUUGUUCCCGUUCCCGUUGGAAUUUCGGAACGUAUUUUACUACAUCGGAAACCGUCGUGGGCAUACGUAAUUGAUACGUUUGACCGUCUAUUUUUUCGCGGUACACUACUAACCGGCGAUUCCUUAACCGGCAAUAACCAAAUCGAUCAGACAAAUACUUUUCAAGAUACGAAUUAUGAGGUUUCAAAAGAAACCAGAAAGAAAUGAAGAAUUUUUUAAAUUUUAAUUAACGACUAAUAAUAAAACAAAA